Molecule: ribosomal RNA, 301 nt
Filed under: uncultured bacterium
Lineage: Bacteria
Description: partial 16S ribosomal RNA
Rfam family: Bacterial small subunit ribosomal RNA
Source: RNAcentral
CAGUAGCCGCGGGAAUACGUAGGUGACAAGCGUUGUCCGGAAUUAUUGGGCGUAAAGGGCUCGCAGGCGGUUUCUUAAGUCUGAUGUGAAAGCCCCCGGCUCAACCGGGGAGGGUCAUUGGAAACUGGGAAACUUGAGUGCAGAAGAGGAGAGUGGAAUUCCACGUGUAACGGUGAAAUGCGUAGAGAUGUGGAGGAACACCAGUGGCGAAGGCGACUCUCUGGUCUGUAACUGACGCUGAGGAGCGAAAGCGUGGGGAGCGAACAGGAUUAGAGACCCGUGUAGUCCCUGUCUCUUAUAA